GGGCCGCUAGCUCAGCUGGUAGAGCACCGCCCUUUUAAGGCGGGUGUCCCGAGUUCGAUCCUCGGGCGGCUCA
Molecule: transfer RNA, 73 nt
Filed under: Candidatus Omnitrophota bacterium
Lineage: Bacteria; Pseudomonadati; Candidatus Omnitrophota
Description: tRNA-Lys
Rfam family: tRNA
About the family: Transfer RNA (tRNA) molecules are approximately 80 nucleotides in length.
Source: RNAcentral